GCUGCCAAGAGGCCGGCACAGGGCCAAGUCUCACAGGCUGGCUCUCGGGACUCCCUGAGCAGCUCGCCCAGGCCUACCUACCUCUGCCGCCAUCAAAUGGCAGAAGUGGGGAUUCCAGUCUCACCAAGCCUCCGACUUGUGACGGAUGGAGAGGGAGGAAGACUGAGGGGGAAGAAACGCCUUUCUUUACUACGGAGGAACAUAGGAAUGUUUCUACUUACCAGGGCAUGAGGCGUCCCAGGCGAGUCCAGGAGGACUUGCUGAUGCAGAAACCCACCAGAGGGUCCGUGAAGGCAUCCCAGGCUCGACCCACAAAAAGGAUAAUGGAAGCAGGGAGUGGCUUCACCUGCCAAGGGGCAGAAGCAAAGGUGUCCUUCAUUCAUUGGCCUUCGAGGGCGUCCCCCACUGCCACACCCAGGCCACCAAGACCUUACAUUGCUCCCACCUGGAUCUUAAACACAUUUUUUUUUUCUUGAGACAGGGUUUCUCUGUGUAGCCCUGGCAGUCCUGGAAGUCGCUCUGUAGACCAGGCUGGUCUCGAAUUCAGAGACCUGCCUGCCUCUGCCCCCCAAGUGCUGGGAUUAAAGGUGUGCAACCACCACUUGGUUUCCCUCACUUUCUUAAUAGUGACAAUAGCAGAUGCCAGGGUUUAGCUC
Molecule: long non-coding RNA, 656 nt
Organism: Apodemus sylvaticus (European woodmouse)
Lineage: Eukaryota; Metazoa; Chordata; Mammalia; Rodentia; Muridae
Exons: 3
Source: RefSeq, a predicted model, not a curated record